ACCCAGAUCUUUCCAAUCUAGAGACGCGCGCAUUCACAUAAAAGGGGCGGUUUUUGCACCGCAUGUCCAAUCGCAAACAUGGACAAAACAAGGGCCGCAUAUUUCACACAGGAGGAGCAGACAAUAAUCUUACAAACUUUGUCUGCUCCUCCUGCGUGAAAUAUUGUAAUACAAACAUAUCAGGAAUACAGACAUAUAAUACAGGCAAAAAGCAACAGUCACUGCUGCCAAAUCAAAUAGGGGAAGCUGGCAGAAAAUAGCAGACUCUGUAAAUGCGUAAGCUACAUGACUUAUUGAUAUCACUGCCCCAGGCACAAGAUGUGACUAUAAUUACACAUGUGCAUUCCAUAACGUUAAACUUUUGUUGCUGUAUUAUUUUAGUUGCAACCCUGGCAGUGGCAAACGAUCGUGGGAGCAAAUAAAAAAUAAAUAUAAAAACAUAAUUCAAACUGGUAAGUAGCAGCAGGCAAUACUUGCACAUAUUUUAAGGCCAACAAGUACUAGGCUGAAUUGCCUGAGUCAGUCCCUUUCGUAGGAUAUUGGUAUACAAAGGGCCUAUAGAACAAUGAAAUUGCUUUCAGCCAACAGGAAUAAAAAUUAGGCAAAGAAAACUGGAGGGGGCCCUCCUCCACAGGACUUCACUCCUGCUGAGGAGCUGGCCCUCUCCAGCAAUCAGGGUCGCCCCAUGAUGGAAGAAGUGGAAGGGGGCAUUUCUUCAGACCCUGGUGGCAGCAGCUCGGAAACCCAGGCAUAUGUACAGGGAAAUACAGUGGUGUUGCUGCCACCACCCACUGUCGUCCCACUGUGCCAUACAGAGGUGGAGGUCCUAGAUGAUCAGGAAACUGUGUCUGCCUGCUCAGAGAGCGCUUUGGGGAUACACUUUUGAGUUUUUUUACCACUUGCAACACAGAUGUCGAGAGUAUGUGAAUGUGUGUCUGUGAUUGAAGUGUCUGUAAUGACUUGCUAAUGGUGGUGGUCUGAACAUGAGACACAAGUCUUUAAAGUGCUCAUUUCAAAUAUGACUCAAUUGAUUAAAUUGCUAUGGUGUUAAACUC
Long non-coding RNA from Osmerus eperlanus (European smelt), 1055 nucleotides. RefSeq lists it as uncharacterized. The record is from RefSeq and is a predicted model, not a curated record. The transcript has 3 exons. NCBI's taxonomy places the organism in Eukaryota, Metazoa, Chordata, Actinopteri, Osmeriformes, Osmeridae.